AUGGGACGCAACCGACAGGCGCCCCCGGAACAGCGCGCCAGAGACCACUGGGGAGCCGAGCGCGGCACCGUGAGCCCGGGGAGCAGCCCGCAGCCCCGGCCGGCCUCCCGCCCUCGCCGCAGAGGCGGCCCCGGAGCUCCGCGCCUCCCCCGCUGCCUGGCUCGGCUGCCCCGGGGCCCCGGCCUCCCGCCCCGGCGUGGGCGAGCUCUGACCCGCGGAGAGGCGACCUUCCAGCCCGGUGCCCGAAGCCCAGAGUCGAGGAAGCAAAAAGAAGGCGAAGAAAGACGCAGGAAAGACACUGCUUUGGCUAGGGCUCUCGACUCCCAGAAACCCUCCCAAAGUCCCGUCCAGCCGCCGCCGCCGCCCGGCCGGCAGGGGGCACAGUGGGUAGCCGGGGCGCGGAGGCCGGGCCAGGGGACAGACUGGGAGGCCCCCAAGCGCCGAGCUCCCGCUCAUACCUCCCAGAAAGCCCGGAGCACCAGGCGUCGGACUCUUCCCAGGUCCUCGUCCCUUCCUGCCUGCGCCGCGCCAGCCCGGCUCCUCUCAGCCCCUCUGCCCCGGCAGCUUGUCGAGCGCUCCGCGUCCGCCCCGCCCCCCCCGCCCACGCCUCCCGCCCCGCCCCCAGAGGCUCCGCCCCCACGCCCGCCCCGAGGUGGCGGGGGUGGCCGCCGGGCCGCGGGAGCAGAGCGCCUUGCUCUCGGCCGCACGUGGAGCGCCUGUCGGCCCCGCCCCGGACCCAACCAAGCGUCCCGCGGAGGGGUGCCGCGACACGAAGGUGGGAGCAAACGGAGGGAGCCACCCCUCUCGGGUCCUGAGGAAGGAGGAGAACCCAGAAGGGCACCGUACGUGGACCACUGCCAUCUAGCCCUUACCCUCACGCGACGGAUGCGGGAGGGGACACUGUCAGCUCCCCCCUUCUGGCCGAAUGGCCCUCUCCGACGCUCGGCCCCGCUCCCCCGGAACGCUCCCUCCCGAGCCCAAGUCUGGGUGGGCGGGGGCGGCUGUUUGGCCUGA
RNAcentral lists this long non-coding RNA (1014 nucleotides) under Felis catus (domestic cat). Its description in RNAcentral is "lncRNA (ENSFCAG00000053845.1)". The record is from RNAcentral. Lineage: Eukaryota; Metazoa; Chordata; Mammalia; Carnivora; Felidae.